AUCCACCCUUCCAUAAUCAAAUCUAAAAUACUACCCUAAUCCCCCCAUUCUUUUCUCUUAGCUACCUCCAAGCACUCUCCUCUCUAGACCUCUCUCGAAGGUUCUUGAAACCCUAAUCGCUUUCUACCAUUUUCAACCGCAAACUCACUGGAAUCCAUGGCCUCUCAGGCCAUGGAUUGCCUAUACCCAUCUAUCUUUGCUCUUAAAUGCUUGGUGUUCGAAGUUUUGAGGUCUGACCUCGAUGGUGUCCGUUUAGAUUUUCUCAGAUUCAAGGUUCCAUGGCCUCUCCAGCUUUCCUCCAGCGUAUCUAAAGCAUUUCGAGCCUGUUUCUCAUUCAUCUGGCUUAGAUUGGACCUUUUCCAAGCCUUUCUUUCUUUAAGGUUCCUCUGAAACCCUAGUUAUCUGAGGUUUUCUUUGUUUGUUUUCUUAGAUCGGUUCUAUAUCUAUGCUCUACUUGAGUUUUAAAACGUUUUCCCCAAUUUUUCUUUCAAAAUUACUUCUCUCCGACUUAGGGUUUCUAAAAAACAAAAAAAAAUGUUUUCUCUGACUAUUCUUUUCCUUUUUCUUUGUGUAUAUUUGUCAUGCAUGUGUUUCUACUACUUUCUUAUGCCUUGUCUUUCUAUUUAUGUUACUACACCAUGCGUACAUGUUCUCCUACUCUAUUUUCCUAUAUGUCUUGUUAAUAUACUUUUCUGGUAUUUUGUGUUCUCCUACUGUAUGUAUCUCCUCCUGAGUUCUUAAGUUCCUUGCUUGCCUUUUUACUGGACCUUGUUUGAGUUCUCUUUUGAACAUGUUUCGUCUACUGUUUUCUUAAGUGUUAUACUACCUCUUCUCUCUUCUGGACCUGUUUAAAUCCCCUCACUAUGUUCCAAAUUAGUUUUUUCACUUUGUUGUUUCAAACUUGCUAUUGUAUCUGUUUGUUUUCUCAUAAGUCCCUGAGAGAGACCUCUGAGCCUGCUUCAAUUAUUUUUCUCCUCGUCUUUAUAUCUGAUUCGAGUUGAAAACCCUAG
This 1010-nucleotide long non-coding RNA is filed under the name Nicotiana benthamiana. Its description in RNAcentral is "long non-coding RNA (NBEN_LNC040930)". The record is from RNAcentral. Lineage: Eukaryota; Viridiplantae; Streptophyta; Magnoliopsida; Solanales; Solanaceae.